UACGUAGGGGCUAGCGUUAUCCGGAUUUACUGGGCGUAAAGGGUGCGUAGGCGGUCUUUCAAGUCAGGAGUGAAAGGCUACGGCUCAACCGUAGUAAGCUCUUGAAACUGUAAGACUUGAGUGCAGGAGAGGAGAGUGGAAUUCCUAGUGUAGCGGUGAAAUGCGUAGAUAUUAGGAGGAACACCAGUUGCGAAGGCGGCUCUCUGGCCUGUAACUGACACUGAGGCACGAAAGCGUGGGGAGCAAACAGGAUUAGAUACCCGCGUAGUCCCU
Molecule: ribosomal RNA, 273 nt
Filed under: uncultured prokaryote
Description: partial 16S ribosomal RNA
Rfam family: Bacterial small subunit ribosomal RNA
Source: RNAcentral